Lepidothrix coronata (blue-crowned manakin) is the source of this 2456-nucleotide long non-coding RNA. RefSeq lists it as uncharacterized. The record is from RefSeq and is a predicted model, not a curated record. NCBI's taxonomy places the organism in Eukaryota, Metazoa, Chordata, Aves, Passeriformes, Pipridae. The transcript is spliced from 2 exons.
CCCGCCCGUCCCUCGCACCGGCCUCGAGGCGGCCCCGCGCCCGCCCAGCGGAGGCGGUGAGGAUGGUGAGGGGACCGGACCAUCUCUGAGGGAGCUGGGGCUGUGCAGCCUCGAGGGGAGACACUGAGAGGGGACUCCAUCCAUAUGUGUCAGUGCCUGCAGGGAGGGGGCAGAGCACGGACCAGGCUCUGCUUGGGGGGCCCAGCAAUGGGACACGAGGGACGGGCAGGAAUUGAUGCCCAGGAAGUUCCACCUGGACAUGAGGAAGAAUUUCUUCCCUGUGCAGUGACCAAGCACUGAACAGAGACCAGAGAGGGUGUGGAGUCUCCUCACUGGGAAUGUUCCAGAACCAUCUGGACACAAUCCUGUGCCAUGUGCUCUGGGAUGGCCCUGCUGGAGCAGGACAUGGGACCAGGUGACCCCCUGUGGGCCCUUCCAGCCUGACCCAUCACGGGAGGGCCGGGGCUGUACCAGGGAGGCCCCAGGCCAGGCUCAACCCGAGGGAGGGAAGGAGGUGUCGGGUGAGUGGCAGCCAUUGCCAAAUGUGCCCAGGAGUGUGAUGGGAUGAGUCAGGGAAUCCGGAGGGGCGUCAGAGGACAUGUGUGAUUUACACACUGCCAAUCUCAGAAAUACAAAUUCUCCAUGUUUGGGGUUAAUUUCCUGAAGCCAAGGCAGCACCCAAAAGGCGUGUGUGUCAUGUUCCUGUGGGUCCUGUGCACACGUGCUCACACACACCUGUGCAGAGACACUGGACUUCACUUUUUAGAGCAGGAACAUCUGGAUCAGGACAAGACCCCACAUGUAAUUCUUCCUUGUGGAAGACCUAUCUGCUCAAGACCUCUUCAACAAUCGAAGCUGAGUUCUAAUAGCACAGUAAAAAACCCUUCAGAAGUGAAAGGGAAUGAUGGUUUUUGAUACUUCAGAAAGACACGAGCACUUGGAGGAUGAAGUAAAGUGUAAUCCUUCCAUCCUCAGCUUUCAAACCCUUUCUGGUUCAGUGACACACUCGAGUUCAGCCUUACAGUGCUAAAAAGGAAAGUCCACGUGUUUGAAGCAUUACCUGAAGUGCAGAAGAAGAGAAAACUUGUCACCAAUUACUGAGACUUCGUAUAACUCAAGGAUCUCCUGCGUAUUCAAGUGGCUGAUGUCCUGGCAGUGCGUACACGCUGUUUAUCACAAUUCACUUAAAUAGCUUUUAUGAAGAAUUUAGUGACAUGUUGUUGUGUCUGGGAGGCUGCUUUGACACUUCCUCGUUCAGUGGGAUGUAGAAUCCACUACUUGUCACCGUCUGCAAGUGACACCGUGGUUUCACUGGAUGCUUCCAUGGCAUCUUCUCAUCGGUGGAUAUAAGUCACUGAAGGAGUCUUUGUUCUACAUGGAAAUGUAAAUAAAAAAGUGGAAAUACGCAAAACUUACCUGCAAAACCAAAGCUGGUGCUCUGACAUUAAAAGGGCUCCUGGAACUGAGGUACUUCCAAAGUUCCUCUGCAACACGUGUGAAAUACCUCUGGAGGAAGGAAAGCAAAGAAAGGUGUUUUGUUUUUCUGUAGCAACAUCAUUUUGCCUUCCAAGAGUGGAUACUUUUUCUUUGAUGGCUUCAAUGUUGGAAAACAUUUCUGAAACCUUGUUAAGUCAGGACUGUGUUCAGAAACUCUCAACUUCAUGGCUGCUUGAGCCAGUCUGUGCCAGCCUAAAGCACACAACCCCAAAUUUAAGCACCUUCCUAUUUCAACACUCUUUUAUUUGUGCUUUACCAGCGACCACUCUGGAGCCAUCACUUAAAGCAAAGAAAAUACAACAACUCCAGGAAAACAAUCCACAGACCUUCUAAUCUGAGGGUUGAAUUUGAGAAAACAGGAUCCACCCAUCAGAAGUGCUGCCAUGUCCCUUCUUUGCAAGGCAGGCAGAAUGGAUCCUGGGCUAGAAGUGGGAGCUCUCCAGACACGCUGCAGUCACGACGUGAGCUUCACAUGUACUGAGUAAAUCUGGUUGAUUCCUUCCUGGGGAUCCCCCAGCACAGACGUAGUGGGACAAAAGAGCCUAAAGCAUUCCCGGGGACUGCAGGAGCUCAGUCAACAUCUUUCCUGCUCUGGAGCAAAAGCACAAGCAUCCUUUAGUGCUCAGAUCUUCCCCUUCCUGAGAGCACAGCAUUUGAGGAGCUGUGUUAGAGAACCACCCUCGGCUUCUCAGCUGUGGUUUUGUCUGGGUUCACCUGCUGGGGCGUGACAUGUUUGCAAAAAGUCAGAACAGGAAAGAAGUUUGUGAGCCAAACACAAGGUGGUGAAGGUGGUGUUUAUUUAUUAUGAUGCACCUUUGGUACCAGUUUGUUGAACAGUCAGUGCAACUACCCUUGCAGGGAUAACACUAUUUUAUGCUCUUUGCCCUCUGCUGCUUUGUUGAAAUCACUCUCUCGGACUGAGUUUUCAGAUCUAAUUUUGGAUUAAAAGCUGCAAUUUG